CGGUGAUAGCGAAGGAACAUUGAAUACAGAGCAGAGGUGGUGAUAGCUGAGGAACAGGAGAAGCAGAGGAGAGGAAGAAUUUCUUCUUCCAGGCAAUGGAUUGGACCUGCUACAUGGAGUGCAUCUAUCUCAUGGAUUCAUGAAGGAAGAUUGUUUCAAACCAGACUAAGAGAAGAACUGAAGACUAUUCCUUGAACCGUUUCCUAACAUUUAAGGGUUGGUCUGGCACAUGGAGGGGAUCUAUCUGAUGGAUUCAUGGAGGGGUUGGAUGCACCACAUGGAUGGCAUGUAUCUCAUGGAUUCAUGACUGCAAACGGACGAGUAUCUGCUACAUCUAUUUAUUUUGAAUGCAUGCCAUACUGUGUAGAACUGAAGACUAUCCUUUGAACUGUUGCAUAACUCUUUGGGGUUGGAUGUACCACAUGGAUGGCAUGUAUCUCAUGGAUUCAUGACUGCAAACAGACGAGUAUCUGCUACAUCUAUUUAUUUUGAAUGCAUGCCAUACUGUGUAUGAAGCUACAACUAUGUUUUUUUAGGCCAAAGCUCAUGACUGCUGGUGCUAAAGUAUAUCCUCAAGACAUUGACAAUACUCACUUUUGGGAGGGGAGUUGUAAUGCCUUGCUUAUAAUGAAUGUUUUGGGAUAAUUUUUUGACCUUCCAUGAUUGCAAUCGACAUGGAACAUGCAAUUCAACUGAAAUCUGUGAUUGUGAACUGGGUCAAACUGG
This is a long non-coding RNA of Cryptomeria japonica (Japanese cedar), 726 nucleotides long. RefSeq lists it as uncharacterized. The record is from RefSeq and is a predicted model, not a curated record. The transcript is spliced from 7 exons. Lineage: Eukaryota; Viridiplantae; Streptophyta; Pinopsida; Cupressales; Cupressaceae.